Molecule: small nucleolar RNA, 107 nt
Organism: Pistacia vera
Lineage: Eukaryota; Viridiplantae; Streptophyta; Magnoliopsida; Sapindales; Anacardiaceae
Source: RefSeq, a predicted model, not a curated record
AUUCCAUGUUGUGGACAGCUUGCAUAUAGUUGCUUAAAUCUUUCCCAAUACUCAUGAAGGGUCUCUGUAUCUUUUUGUUUGAUUCCACAUAUCUCCCUUCUGAUACC